This 1967-nucleotide long non-coding RNA is filed under the name Homo sapiens (human). Its description in RNAcentral is "HSALNT0183065". The record is from RNAcentral. Lineage: Eukaryota; Metazoa; Chordata; Mammalia; Primates; Hominidae.
CUGAAUAGUAAUAAUAAUACAUUAUGUCAACAGCGGUGACAAAGGAAACACUCAAUGUAUUUAUAGAGCUAAAUAAACGGCAGAUCUAGGUCCUACGUUUUGACUCUGAACAACCUUCUCGGUUGGAUUUUGCUUCUGCCUAAGGAUUAUUUUGGAAAGAGCUAUUAUUAUCCGUGAUUUAUCACGCUGCACUGGGGGGAACUCAUACUUUCCACGGAGACAAUUACUGAAUUCUCACUGGAGGCGCUUAAAGGAGCCAGGACCUGUUCUGAGGGUUCAGGUGGGAAAGGUGUGCCAGCAGGGGACUGCAGCCUGGCACCAUGGGACGUGUGUGCUGUUGACCACUUCUGUGCCCAGAUGCCUCAGGCGCUUUCUCAUUAGAUGCACCCUUCAAUCUCCUGGUUAUUGAAACAGGACUGGGGAGAGGAGUUCACAUUUAUGGUGAGCCCAUGCAAGAAGACCCUCCGACAGGUGCCUGUCACCCCUGAGGAGUCACUGGUUGCAGCCCGUUCUGAAGUGUCAUUGAGAUAGAAACCAAGUCAAAGCCGUGGCCUAGAAAGAGAGUCUGGGCAGAAUUCUGCAAGCAGAUUCUUUAUUUGAGAAACAUGGAUGCCACACCUGAAAGGCAGUGGCCAUUUCGGUAAUCACCUGAGGCAAGAUCAGAAAAAAUCUAAAAGAAUUGCAGAGAUGCUGACCUUGAUGACUUCAAGCUGCUGAACCAAGGAUCACCUGACCCCACAUGCUUCCUGCAUCCUCACUUCAUCUGUUCAUGUUGGGGAGGCUGCACUUAAGAUCCUGUUAUUUGGAGUUUGAUCAUGGACAGGACUUGUGAUGUCACAUGUCAACGGUAGCUGCACCUACUAAAAAAUUUAUCUUUGUUGUUUAAGCAAUAGAGGUGCCAAGUGUCCGCGAAAGGGAAAAGCUGAAAAGUUGAUGAACUAAGCAUGACGUUACUGGAAAUGGAAAAACUGUAGAUUCCUGACUGAAGAAAAAUUAUAUUUACUUACUUAGUUAUUUAUACAUAGAAAAGAGACCAUAUCUUAAAACAAGUGUUACUUGAGAGUGGUUUUCAAGGAUUUCUACUUUUUGUAAAAAACUUAAUUUGGGAGGGUGGGAAGUAAUGCUUUUAAUUUUAAAAAAAUUUAUUGAGUAAUAAUUUAUGUAUCAUGAAAUUUGUCUAAUUUAAGUGAAUAAUUCAAUUAUUUUUUGUACAUUUACCCAUUUGUGCAAUCAUGAAAACAAUCCAGUUUUAGAACAGUUUCAUCGCCCUAGUAAGAUUCCCCAUGCCCAUUUAUAGUCAAUUCCUAUUUUCGCUCUAGCCCCAGGCAACCACUGAUCUACUUUCUCUCUCUAUGUAUUCAUCUAUUCUGGACAAUUAAUAUAAAUGGAAUCAUACAGUAUGUGGUCCUUUAUGUCUAGUUCCUUUCAUUUAGCAUUACGUUUUUGAGGUUCAUCCGUGUUGUAGCAUGUAUCAGUAUUCAUUCCUUUUUUAUCACUGAAUAAUAUUCCAUACUACAGACAUACCACAUUUUAUCCAUUUACCAGUUGAUAGAUAUUUAGUCUUUUUUCCAUAUUUGGCUAUUAUGAAUAAUUUCUUACACUAGAGUGUAACUUGUUUGGUUCCCAGUCUCAAAGCCCAAUGGAGCACAAAUAUAAAUUUAAAUGUAUGAUUAUAUACUAAAUUUGAACAAGUGGUUUGUCAGAAGUGAAAAUACCUUCUACAAUCAACACACAUACAUUGAGUACUUGUUAUGUAUUAAACACUAUUUGAUAUUGUGGAGAAUAUGGUUAAGAUACAGAUGGUUCCCAUUCAAAUGUAGCUUCUAUUCUAUUUGAGGGAGACAGAGUAAGACAGGGAGAGAGGGAGAGAAGGAAGGAAGGAAAGAAGGAAGGAGAAGAAAGAGAAAAGGGGAAAAGGAGUAAUGACAAGUGUUAUGAAGACAAUGAAAUUAAUUAAAAUUAAUAAG